RNAcentral lists this ribosomal RNA (300 nucleotides) under uncultured Desulfurobacterium sp. RNAcentral's name for it is "bacterial SSU rRNA". The stretch from base 52 to 300 matches the Rfam family "Bacterial small subunit ribosomal RNA", at positions 547 to 795 of the family's 1533-position model. The record is from RNAcentral. Lineage: Bacteria; Pseudomonadati; Aquificota; Aquificia; Desulfurobacteriales; Desulfurobacteriaceae.
GCAACAGCGGCGCCAGAGGGCGCGUGAAGUAGUGGGGGGCAUGGGUUGGUGGGAAUGACUGGGCGCAAAGGGUGUGUAGGGGGCACAGUAUGUUGGACGUGAAAUCCCCGGGCGCAACGCGGGGCGGUCGUUAAAAACUGCCGUGCUAGAGUGUGGGAGAGGGAAGUGGAAUUCCCGGUGUAGCGGUGAAAUGCGUAGAUAUCGGGAAGAACACCUGUGGCGAAGGCGGCUUCCUGGCCCGCAACUGACGCUGAGGCGCGAAAGCUAGGGGAGCAAACAGGAUUAGAUACCCGGGUAGUC